AGCGAACGCUGGCGGCAGGCCUAACACAUGCAAGUCGAACGAACUCUUCGGAGUUAGUGGCGGACGGGUGAGUACACGUGGGAACGUGCCUUUUGGUUCGGAAUAACUCAGGGAAACUUGUGCUAAUACCGAAUGUGCCCUUCGGGGGAAAGAUUUAUCGCCAUUAGAGCGGCCCGCGUCUGAUUAGCUAGUUGGUGAGGUAACGGCUCACCAAGGCGACGAUCAGUAGCUGGUCUGAGAGGAUGACCAGCCACACUGGGACUGAGACACGGCCCAGACUCCUACGGGAGGCAGCAGUGGGGAAUCUUGCGCAAUGGGCGAAAGCCUGACGCAGCCAUGCCGCGUGAAUGAUGAAGGUCCUAGGAUUGUAAAAUUCUUUCACCGGGGACGAUAAUGACGGUACCCGGAGAAGAAGCCCCGGCUAACUUCGUG
Molecule: ribosomal RNA, 432 nt
Filed under: uncultured bacterium
Lineage: Bacteria
Description: partial 16S ribosomal RNA
Rfam family: Bacterial small subunit ribosomal RNA
Source: RNAcentral